This 502-nucleotide ribosomal RNA is filed under the name uncultured bacterium. Its description in RNAcentral is "partial 16S ribosomal RNA". It matches the Rfam family "Bacterial small subunit ribosomal RNA", at positions 28 to 523 of the family's 1533-position model. The record is from RNAcentral.
GAUGAACGCUAGCGGCAGGCCUAACACAUGCAAGUCGAGGGGCAGCACAGAAACAGCAAUGUUUUGGUGGCGACCGGCGGACGGGUGCGUAACGCGUAUGCAACCUACCUUUAACAGGGGGAUAACGGAGAGAAAUUUCCACUAAUACCCCAUAACAUCGAUCAAGGCAUCUUGAUUGGUUGAUAACUCCGGUGGUUAAAGAUGGGCAUGCGUUGUAUUAGGUAGUUGGUGAGGUAAUGGCUCACCAAGCCUACGAUACAUAGGGGGACUGAGAGGUUAGCCCCCCACACUGGUACUGAGACACGGACCAGACUCCUACGGGAGGCAGCAGUGAGGAAUAUUGGUCAAUGGGGGCAACCCUGAACCAGCCAUGCCGCGUGCAGGAAGACGGCUCUAUGAGUUGUAGACUGCUUUUAAACAGGGAUAAAGCACAGUAUGUAUACUGUGUUGAAGGUACUGUAAGAAUAAGGAUCGGCUAACUCCGUGCCAGCAGCCGCCGUAA